GAAAUGCCUCCAUGAGGUCCAGCUGUAAGGCAUUUUCUCAAUUAGUGACCAAUGGAGGGAGGGCCGUGGUGGGUGGUGCCAUCCCUGGGCUGCUGGUCCUG
This is a microRNA precursor of Cricetulus griseus (Chinese hamster), 101 nucleotides long. The record is from Ensembl. Lineage: Eukaryota; Metazoa; Chordata; Mammalia; Rodentia; Cricetidae.